GGAAUUUUGGUAGAAGGCCUUGAAUCAUUUGCCCGGGGUCACAAAGAUAGUAGAAUUAAGGUAACUUAAGAGAGCUGAAGACGGAAGUGGAAUGUUGGAGUUGAGCUGGACAUGAAGAGGAUCACUGCAUAGAUAAAGCAACUCUCCACAUUUGAGCAGGCGAGUUCACAGAAUGCAAGAAAAUACCUCCUACAAUCUUCCAGUUAAUAAUAAUGUUUCAGAGAAAAACAUGUGCUACGUUCAAAAUAAUGAAUGUCUGUUUUGUUUCCUAAGCAGCAAAAAGAGGAGAGAAACUGGGAUUGUGUUUAGGAGCAGUGUCUUGCUGUACAUAUAGCCCAGGCUGGCUCUGAAUGCUCCUACUUCAGCCCCUUCCCGCUGAAAUUGCAGCUGUGU
Molecule: non-coding RNA, 393 nt
Organism: Peromyscus maniculatus bairdii (prairie deer mouse)
Lineage: Eukaryota; Metazoa; Chordata; Mammalia; Rodentia; Cricetidae
Source: RefSeq, a predicted model, not a curated record